Non-coding RNA from Aspergillus ellipticus CBS 707.79, 122 nucleotides. The record is from the annotation of a GenBank genome assembly. Lineage: Eukaryota; Fungi; Ascomycota; Eurotiomycetes; Eurotiales; Aspergillaceae.
AGCAUGUUAGCUCAGGGGAAGAGCGCCGGGCUCAUAACCCGGAGGUAUGUCUUACUAUGCAACUCCUUGAAACUUCAUAACUAACAGUUACCAGGUCCCUGGAUCGAAACCAGGACAUGCUA